UUAAAUUGAAGAGUUUGAUCAUGGCUCAGAUUGAACGCUGGCGGCAGGCCUAACACAUGCAAGUCGAACGGUAACAGGAAGAAGCUUGCUUCUUUGCUGACGAGUGGCGGACGGGUGAGUAAUGUCUGGGAAACUGCCUGAUGGAGGGGGAUAACUACUGGAAACGGUAGCUAAUACCGCAUAACGUCGCAAGACCAAAGAGGGGGACCUUCGGGCCUCUUGCCAUCGGAUGUGCCCAGAUGGGAUUAGCUUGUUGGUGGGGUAACGGCUCACCUAGGCGACGAUCCCUAGCUGGUCUGAGAGGAUGACCAGCCACACUGGAACUGAGACACGGUCCAGACUCCUACGGGAGGCAGCAGUGGGGAAUAUUGCACAAUGGGCGCAAGCCUGAUGCAGCCAUGCCGCGUGUAUGAAGAAGGCCUUCGGGUUGUAAAGUACUUUCAGCGGGGAGGAAGGGAGUAAAGUUAAUACCUUUGCUCAUUGACGUUACCCGCAGAAGAAGCACCGGCUAACUCCGUGCCAGCAG
This 526-nucleotide ribosomal RNA is filed under the name Escherichia coli. RNAcentral's name for it is "bacterial SSU rRNA". It matches the Rfam family "Bacterial small subunit ribosomal RNA", at positions 1 to 514 of the family's 1533-position model. The record is from RNAcentral. Lineage: Bacteria; Pseudomonadati; Pseudomonadota; Gammaproteobacteria; Enterobacterales; Enterobacteriaceae.